This 142-nucleotide non-coding RNA is filed under the name Lepisosteus oculatus (spotted gar). RNAcentral's name for it is "Eukaryotic large subunit ribosomal RNA". It matches the Rfam family "Eukaryotic large subunit ribosomal RNA", at positions 3016 to 3153 of the family's 3401-position model. Lineage: Eukaryota; Metazoa; Chordata; Actinopteri; Semionotiformes; Lepisosteidae. The record is from Rfam by way of RNAcentral.
ACUCAGUGUAAUCCUGCUCAGUAUGAAAGGAACUGCAGUUUCAGACAUGUGGUGUCUGAUCUUGGCUGAGGAGCCAGUGGUGAAGCUGUGUUCUGUAGGAUUAUGAUUGAAUGCCUCUGAGUCAGAAUCCCCCAUGAAAGGU